RNAcentral lists this transfer RNA (68 nucleotides) under Lysmata debelius (fire shrimp). Its description in RNAcentral is "tRNA-Gly". Lineage: Eukaryota; Metazoa; Arthropoda; Malacostraca; Decapoda; Hippolytidae. The record is from RNAcentral.
AUUUUUCUAAUAUAUUUAGUAUAAUUAGCUUCCAACUAAUUUGUCUGGGAUUUACCCCAGGAAAGAUA